Molecule: ribosomal RNA, 676 nt
Filed under: uncultured bacterium
Lineage: Bacteria
Description: bacterial SSU rRNA
Rfam family: Bacterial small subunit ribosomal RNA
Source: RNAcentral
UAACACGUGGGCAACCUGCCUGUAAGUUGGGGAUAACUCCGGGAAACCGGGGCUAAUACCGAAUGAUAAAGUGUGGCGCAUGCCACGCUUUUGAAAGAUGGUUUCGGCUAUCGCUUACAGAUGGGCCCGCGGUGCAUUAGCUAGUUGGUAGGGUAAUGGCCUACCAAGGCAACGAUGCAUAGCCGACCUGAGAGGGUGAUCGGCCACACUGGGACUGAGACACGGCCCAGACUCCUACGGGAGGCAGCAGUAGGGAAUCUUCCGCAAUGGACGAAAGUCUGACGGAGCAACGCCGCGUGUAUGAAGAAGGUUUUCGGAUCGUAAAGUACUGUUGUUAGAGAAGAACAAGGAUAAGAGUAACUGCUUGUCCCUUGACGGUAUCUAACCAGAAAGCCACGGCUAACUACGUGCCAGCAGCCGCGGUAAUACGUAGGUGGCAAGCGUUGUCCGGAUUUAUUGGGCGUAAAGCGCGCGCAGGCGGUCUUUUAAGUCUGAUGUGAAAGCCCCCGGCUUAACCGGGGAGGGUCAUUGGAAACUGGAAGACUGGAGUGCAGAAGAGGAGAGUGGAAUUCCACGUGUAGCGGUGAAAUGCGUAGAUAUGUGGAGGAACACCAGUGGCGAAGGCGACUCUCUGGUCUGUAACUGACGCUGAGGCGCGAAAGCGUGGGGAGCAAAC